RNAcentral lists this ribosomal RNA (468 nucleotides) under uncultured bacterium. Its description in RNAcentral is "partial 16S ribosomal RNA". It matches the Rfam family "Bacterial small subunit ribosomal RNA", at positions 28 to 507 of the family's 1533-position model. The record is from RNAcentral.
GACGAACGCUGGCGGCGUGCUUAACACAUGCAAGUCGAACGGAAAGGCCCUGCUUUUGUGGGGUGCUCGAGUGGCGAACGGGUGAGUAACACGUGAGUAACCUGCCCUUGACUUUGGGAUAACUUCAGGAAACUGGGGCUAAUACCGGAUAGGAGCUCCUGCUGCAUGGUGGGGGUUGGAAAGUUUCGGCGGUUGGGGAUGGACUCGCGGCUUAUCAGCUUGUUGGUGGGGUAGUGGCUUACCAAGGCUUUGACGGGUAGCCGGCCUGAGAGGGUGACCGGCCACAUUGGGACUGAGAUACGGACCAGACUCCUACGGGAGGCAGCAGUGGGGAAUAUUGCACAAUGGGCGGAAGCCUGAUGCAGCAACGCCGCGUGCGGGAUGACGGCCUUCGGGUUGUAAACCGCUUUCGCCUGUGACGAAGCGUGAGUGACGGUAAUGGGUAAAGAAGCACCGGCUAGCUACGUG